Molecule: long non-coding RNA, 1416 nt
Organism: Anopheles funestus (African malaria mosquito)
Lineage: Eukaryota; Metazoa; Arthropoda; Insecta; Diptera; Culicidae
Exons: 2
Source: RefSeq, a predicted model, not a curated record
UAGAGAGAGAGAGAAAAUGCGCGGAAGAGAAGAUGAAAAGAAAGAAAAAGCAAAUUAAAAAAUGAAGUAAAAUACACAGUAGUUUUCGGGAAAGCCAUCAGAAUUGUGUUUCCAAUAGCAAUACUAGACACUGAGAUAUUCAAACUUGUUGUGUGACAAAGCCUGCUGUCGUUUCAAGGAAAAUUUUCUUACGAAGAAAAAUUAUAUUCCUAGGUGAGUGGAGAAAGAAUUUAAAGUUCACCACCACUCGCCAAGCGCAACGACGCUGGAAGUUAUUGUUCCACUGUCACACGAUCUGUCAAUGAAGCAUCGAGUUUCUCACCAAUAGAGAGGGGUGCCGUGAAAUUCACAGUGAAAUCAAUCAAAAAGGAAUGGAUUUCUUUAUCAAUUUGGUGUGCCAAAAGGAACUGGCCUUUAAAGCUAAACCAUUCUUUUUCCACGCUGCAAACACCCCGUAUAAGAUAUAUAGCAACAUCGUUCCAUAUUUCCUUCAUAUUCUGACAGCAGCAGAUACAAGCAUGUCUGUGUGUGCGUGGUAUUGUACCGACGGUGAAUAAGAAUGGUGCGCUGCGCUGCGACCGGAACAAACACACCAACACCUAGAAUAAAGACACUGCCGAGGAGGAAAAAAGGAAUGGAAAAGAUUCAUUAAACUCAAAAGGGAAAAAAGGCUUUUCUUCCGAUCAAUCUGCUGCCAUUCAACAGCCGGUCCCCUUAUUGUUGCGACAUUCGCCACUGGAACUGCACAAAGUUCUACAUUUAUGUGCGUCAACCGGAUCAUUCAACUCGCGAGAAAAAAAAAAGAAAACAAGGUAAAGCAGCAGCGCUGGUUAGAGAACCACACCAAAGAAAACCUCACAACGACUUCUGCCCGAAUGGUUGCCCUCCCGAUAGGAUAGCUGACACAACCGAAAACCUGGCACCUGGCACGGAGGCCUUUGUUACGCCAUUUGUUUUUUCGCAAAACGGACAAAACAUCACUCUUAGGGGAGAAGCUGCUGCCCUGCACGCACAAACACACACACACACGCACAAAGAGGCAUUUAGUGUACUUGCCUGCCGCCAUCCAGAGCAUUUCAAUGGCCCCGUCUACUAAAAACUAUAUGUACACACACUCGAUUUUCGUCCGUGCACACGGUGAGACGCGCUGAAUACUUCUGGCUCUGGCCGUACGGCACCGCGAGCAGCGAAGCGGCGCCGCACACCCAUCUGAAGAACAUAACCGCACCGGAUCAAGCAAAACUCCGGGCCUGCUACCAAUAUAUACGGACGGAUAGGACAAUGAGAAGCUAAAAAUUAAUGCAAUGGAAGAUUCUUCCGAGACUUCACAAAAUCGCUCGGUUUAGUCCAGGGGUUUGCUUUAAUGUAAUCCAAAUCAUGCAAUGAAGAACAAAAAAAAAGGAUCUUCUUGAUUAA